RNAcentral lists this ribosomal RNA (497 nucleotides) under uncultured bacterium. RNAcentral describes it as "partial 16S ribosomal RNA". It matches the Rfam family "Bacterial small subunit ribosomal RNA", at positions 28 to 507 of the family's 1533-position model. The record is from RNAcentral.
GAUGAACGCUGGCGGCGUGCCUAAUACAUGCAAGUCGAGCGAACAGACGAGGAGCUUGCUCCUCUGACGUUAGCGGCGGACGGGUGAGUAACACGUGGAUAACCUACCUAUAAGACUGGGAUAACUUCGGGAAACCGGAGCUAAUACCGGAUAAUAUAUUGAACCGCAUGGUUCAAUAGUGAAAGACGGUUUUGCUGUCACUUAUAGAUGGAUCCGCGCCGCAUUAGCUAGUUGGUAAGGUAACGGCUUACCAAGGCGACGAUGCGUAGCCGACCUGAGAGGGUGAUCGGCCACACUGGAACUAAGACACGGUCCAGACUCCUACGGGAGGCAGCAGUAGGGAAUCUUCCGCAAUGGGCGAAAGCCUGACGGAGCAACGCCGCGUGAGUGAUGAAGGUCUUCGGAUCGUAAAACUCUGUUAUUAGGGAAGAACAAAUGUGUAAGUAACUAUGCACGUCUUGACGGUACCUAAUCAGAAAGCCACGGCUAACUACGUG